The sequence is a ribosomal RNA, 375 nucleotides long. It matches the Rfam family "Eukaryotic small subunit ribosomal RNA", at positions 582 to 975 of the family's 1831-position model.
AUUCCAGCUCCAAUAGCGUAUAUUAAAGUUGUUGCAGUUAAAAAGCUCGUAGUUGAACUUCUUGGCAUCCUUUAAGCUGGCUUCGGUCGUUUCAAGGGUGUCAAUCCGCUAGGGAACUACAUUCGCACUUCACUGUGCGGUGUAAGGAACUGGCAUUUUACUUAGAAAAAAUUAGAGUGUUCAAGGCAGGCUAUCGCCCUGAAUACACAAGCUUGGAAUAAUGAAAUAGGACUAUUUCCAUUUUAUUGGUUAUUGGAUUUAGUAAUGAUUAAUAGGGACAGUUGGGGGCAUUUGUAUUUAAUAGUCAGAGGUGAAAUUCUUGGAUUUAUUAAAGACAAACUUAUGCGUAAGCAUUUGCCAAGGAUGUUUUCAUUG